UACAGAGGGGGCAAGCGUUGUUCGGAAUUACUGGGCGUAAAGCGCGCGUAGGCGGCUUUGCAAGUCGGGUGUGAAAUCCCCAGGCUUAACCUGGGAACUGCAUUCGAGACUGCAUUGCUAGAGUAUGGGAGAGGGAAGUGGAAUUUCCGGUGUAGCGGUGGAAUGCGUAGAUAUCGGAAGGAACAUCAGUGGCGAAAGCGACUUCCUGGACCAAUACUGACGCUCAUGUGCGAAAGCGUGGGGAGCAAACAGG
Molecule: ribosomal RNA, 253 nt
Filed under: uncultured bacterium
Lineage: Bacteria
Description: partial 16S ribosomal RNA
Rfam family: Bacterial small subunit ribosomal RNA
Source: RNAcentral